CUGUUACAAAGAAAUGAUAAGAAUUCUGGUUAUUGUCAUGAAUGAAGUCAUUGCACAGAGGUCAAAAAAAUAAAUUAUAUAACUGUCUCUAAUCAACAAAAAAAGAUAUAUAAUUCAUAGUGGACCCAUAAAGAAUUAAAAAUCUUUAAGUAACUAAUCAAAAUGAUAAUACCUUUCUUUGAGCUAGAAAUUGUGUCUCUGGUAACGUAUUGGGAUGCUUACUUGCUUAAAUGAAGUCUGUUUAAAAAAAGAUUCAGAGUUACUAACAUAUUCCCAAUUUUGAAUUUGCUGUGAUUCCAGGAGAAGAGUUUAUUUAACUCUUACAUAAUGACAAUUUCCUUGGCCAAGGAUUUAGCUCAGUGGUUCCACCACCUGCCUCAAAAGCGCAAGGUCCUGAGUUCAAUCCCUGGUACCGCAAGAAUGACAAUUUCCUUCAUUCCCUAAAACAUUUGAAGCACAGGCACUUUGGUGAACAAAAAGGAUACAUGCUUUUGGUUGAAUAAAAGCAAGAUCGGUCAACAUUUUAAAUCAGUUUAAGAAGUAGUAAGAACCUGAAGUAUGGAAAUGAAAACCAUCUUUUACUGAGAGUUCUCACUUUUAUUAGUUUUAGAGAGAACAAGGGCAAAUCUCUCAACUGUAACAGAGGCCUCCACUUCAGCUUGAGUUUCAAGGAUACCAGGAGAACUAAGUGUAAUCCUUCCAGCCCCAUCAGCAUCCUCAGGACCAACACCAAACAGGGUGAGUCUCUGAAAAGAAGCUAUUGCUGGAAUGAGUGCUAAGGGAUUGAGCUGAGGACCUUGCACUUGCAAGGCAGGUGGCGGAACCACUGAGGUCUUACAAUAGUGCCCGGUACACAAAGUAGGCUCUUUAAAGGCCUAUCUCUGGUCAGGGACACAGGGAAUCCUGAGCAUUACCAGUUGUGCUUGCAGCAAACAUAGGACCUAUGGGUCCUUCAAUGAGGACCUCUGCUCUUGUCAAGGGUGUUUGGAGUGUUUGGGAAGAUCUGGAACUUUCCUGAAGCAAAGUGAUACAAGUGAAACAUGUUACAUAGUGCCUGAUAUUCACUAGAUCCAUGGGUAUUCUUGAAUCAAAUAAGAUCUUCAGGUUAUAUUUGUAGAUCUUGAAAUUUUCACUGAGUUGAGGCUUCCUCUAAGAAGCAGAUGGAGAAAAAUCUUCUUCUGAGAGAAGCUAAAUUAUCAAAGGCAAUAACAUGUAGCAGAGUUAAGUUAACUGGCAGAUCUCAGGGAGAUGAGAACUCCUUUGAACUUGUGGGGAAGUUUAACGGCAAGAGUGCAGAUUCCUGGGAGAAGAUCCAUUACUAAAAGAAGAUAAAGAACUUGUAAGUAGCUUUCCAGCUGUACAAAAGGGCAGGAUACAGAAUCCAUCCGACUGCAGAAUCCAUGCUUAAUUCUUGCACUGAGGGAGGGAGGACUGUGGAGAAAUUUUAUGGGAUGGUGUUGAAUUAAAUAUCUAAAACCAAAAGUUGGGCAAAUUGUUUUUCCUUCAGUAUUAUAGGUCAGAAUUUAUAAUAUCAAUUUGAACAGGGAAUUAAUUGCGAUUGGGUGACAAGUCACGAGCUGUUAGAGAAUGUAGUGAUUUGCCGAUGCCAAGGCCAAUUCUCUUACUGAGACUCUUUGAAGUCAGGGGACGUUGGGAACAUGUGUGUGUGGGGAGGUUGGGUGAAGGAUAGAAUGAGAAUUAUGGUGAGAACUGGCUUUAUGGUCCUAUCAUUUCCCCAAAACAUCUAUUGCUUUCCCCCUCCUCAUUCAUUGAACAAAUGUUUUAUAACCUUUUUUCUGGGCCUGGCACUCUGCUUGGGCAUAGGCAUUUAAAGAUGAAUACAGAACAAUACCUACUCUUGAGGAGUUUGGAAGUAAUUUGAUCAGCCUCCUCUUCCUAUUAUUAAUAG
Non-coding RNA from Heterocephalus glaber (naked mole-rat), 1909 nucleotides. NCBI's taxonomy places the organism in Eukaryota, Metazoa, Chordata, Mammalia, Rodentia, Bathyergidae. The record is from RefSeq and is a predicted model, not a curated record.